RNAcentral lists this long non-coding RNA (821 nucleotides) under Ananas comosus (pineapple). RNAcentral describes it as "long non-coding RNA (ACOM_LNC001385)". The record is from RNAcentral. Lineage: Eukaryota; Viridiplantae; Streptophyta; Magnoliopsida; Poales; Bromeliaceae.
GGAAUCCGAGGUUACAGUACACGAGGAAAAAAAAAGGGGAAAUGGAUCGCAGAGGGUUAGCUAAAACCCUAGAAAAACCUCCAAUUUGGCGAAGAAAUGUUCAAUAUUCGUGCUGAUUACUGAAGAAAUUAGAAAAGUUUCCAACUUUUAGCUCACUAAAUCGUUGCAAACGCAAUCCUAGGGCUCCAUUUUUUUUGGAACGUUGCUGGGAUUCUUAAUGGACGGUGUUGCGCUCCUUGGUACUAUUCGAUCCGAAGACCUGGAUCGCAGCGAGGACGAUAGAGACUCCAUGGUCGUCGAUACGGCUCCAAAUCAUGCAUUAGAUCAAUCGAGAUCGAAUGCCGAGGGUCUUGUUGUUCUUAANUUAGCUUGGUAGAAAUGGGGAAAUGGAAACCUAAUGGCUUGUUUUCUACUCGAUUUGUGCUCAUUUAUUUUUCGUCCCAUCGGAAAUGCGAUUUUUUGCAUUGAUUUUGAUGGUUGUGAAGCCCUUGAUUCAGCGGCGUUUGCUAAACUUUUUUUUUUCUUUCCUUUUCUAGGCGGAAUCCGAGGUUACAGUACACGAGAAAAAAAAAGUGGAAGUAGAUCGCAGAGGGUUAGCUAAAACCCUAGAAAAACAUCCAAUUGGCGAAGAAAUGUCCAAUAUUCGUGCUGAUUACUGAAGAAAUUAGAAAAGUUUCCAACUUUAGCUCACUAAAUCGUUGCAAACGCAUUCCUAGGGCUCCAUUUUUCUGGAUCGUAGCUGGGAUUCUUAAUGGACGGUGUUGCGCUCCUUGGUACCAUUCGAUCCGAAGACCUGGAUCGCAGCGAGGACGAUAGAGACU